Molecule: non-coding RNA, 178 nt
Organism: Hydra vulgaris (swiftwater hydra)
Lineage: Eukaryota; Metazoa; Cnidaria; Hydrozoa; Anthoathecata; Hydridae
Source: RefSeq, a predicted model, not a curated record
AAAAGGAUAUCGGGAAAAGAUAAGCUUAGAAAAUCUAGUAAAUAUAUGGAGUGUUUUACGAGAUAUCGGCGACGAGGAAGAAAAUGUUGACGGCAAUGCAGAAAUAUAGUUUCUUAUGUAUAUUUUUGUGAAAUAAAAAUUAAGUAAUGUUAGUUAAAAUGUUUCUUUACUUAUUUAA